Molecule: long non-coding RNA, 1305 nt
Organism: Bombus impatiens (common eastern bumble bee)
Lineage: Eukaryota; Metazoa; Arthropoda; Insecta; Hymenoptera; Apidae
Exons: 4
Source: RefSeq, a predicted model, not a curated record
GUUACAUGUUCGAUAUAACUCUUCGAUUAUUUCUGAGAACGCUGGAAAUAAUGUUCAUUCCAUUCAACGAGGAUAAAUCAAAAGGAGAGGGGAUGUCAAUUUUUAAUGGAGAAUCACGUAUUCGUCCCGUUACGACUGAUUCGAGGCUUUAUCGCGACAUUACAGAAGAAAUCGGGAAACACGCGGAACGUUUGCUGGUACUCGCAUAACUGACCGAGCCGAGGGGAGAAAUUCUCUCUAUCCUGAUGGCCCGGGCUCCUGGCUGACUUGCGCUCCGCGCACCUAAGCGCAACAUGUGGUAAACCGUUGAAGAUACCGGUCGGCCUGGUCUGUGUUUUCCAGUGGUGCCAGGUGCGAUGGCCGGACGGUAUAACGACGUAACGGCUGCCGCAUUGCCGAUGUCGUGUCUACAGUAACUACGGUACAUGGGGUCGUCUCUUAGAGUGUUUGCGAAUUAGGCCGCGACCCCGUCUCCGUCGUCGCGAACCACGAUGGUUCUGUGGUAGUGGUCGCAGAGGGGGCUGUGCCGCGAAAUUAGAACGUUGCAUUCGUGAGGGUCGUCGCUGUCUCGCUGCCGUGGCGGGGCAUCAAUAGGAAUAAUACGAGGAACUAUGCGAUGUAGCUCGCACAUAGGUAGACGCGAGUGUAACGACCUUACACCCCCGCAGGUAGCGGGAUCGAUGGGCUUCAACUGCGAGCAACCUCACAUCCGCAGCUCCUACCGCGGGCCAACUUCCUCCACCGUGUUGGCUGUCCCACUUUUCUGUCGCAUUUUACUACUACGAUGUAACGUUGUUUCGCACCUUACGGCCACUGCUUGUCGACGAUAAGCGAACUUGUACUGUUUCGAAUAGAAACGGUUCUGCCGCGACAAACAAUGCCUAGCAACGAGGCAAGGAUUCUCAAACACAGAAAAUCAUCGGACGUUUCAUUAAAAUUUGAAAAUUCACUGUUGGAAAUAACUUGGUAUAUAAAUAGGGUGAAUAAAAUCAACUAGUUAUUUGUUUAAAAUAUAUUGUAAACGUUUCUCAUAAUGAUAGUACGGUCUGAGAAUUUUGGAAUCAAAUUUCAUAAAAACGAUGAAUUAAAGUCGAUCGUAUCGUGAAGUUUUAUUCCCAUUUCUCUGUUGAGUAGAAUAUGCUAGUAUUGUGUUACGUGCAUGCUGAUAUGGCAAACGCUUCACUAAGAAAGCAAGUGCAUUAUUUACUCCGACAAUGGAGUUACAUGUUGUAAUCGUGACGUAGAUUAUAUCGUGAUUGUUGCAAAGGUGUACUCGUUACGUUCCAUUCCAUUUUAUAAAAUAGA